CACAGUAUAUCAUUAAACCUGUCCUGUCUUAUGGCUGUUCAUCCUUCACUGUGUCUAGUCCAUUAAUUAAACUCUACCAUAGGACACUUGGCCUGUCUCCACCCCACUUCAGGCCUCUCGGUACUCCUUUGCAUGCGUGGUUCUUAAACUACUGCAGAGGCAUGAGGCCAGCUUAGGGAAGCAGAGCAGGACCACCCCCUAGAUACUUGGGUCAGGCUGGAGAGGCUGCAUCUCUAAGUGGUCUCUGGCGAAGAAGCAGUUUGAGAACACCGAGUUUUUAAAGCUUUCUAGAAAGGA
This is a long non-coding RNA of Peromyscus eremicus (cactus mouse), 297 nucleotides long. RefSeq lists it as uncharacterized. The transcript is spliced from 2 exons. The record is from RefSeq and is a predicted model, not a curated record. NCBI's taxonomy places the organism in Eukaryota, Metazoa, Chordata, Mammalia, Rodentia, Cricetidae.